This 279-nucleotide ribosomal RNA is filed under the name uncultured bacterium. RNAcentral describes it as "partial 16S ribosomal RNA". It matches the Rfam family "Bacterial small subunit ribosomal RNA", at positions 506 to 784 of the family's 1533-position model. The record is from RNAcentral.
UGCCAGCCGCCGCGGUAAUACGGAGGGUCCAAGCGUUGUUCGGAUUUAUUGGGCGUAAAGCGAGUGUAGGCGGUUUAGCAAGUCGGAUGUGAAAUCCCAGGGCCCAACCCUGGAACUGCAUCCGAUACUGUUAGGCUAGAAUUCCGGAGAGGGUGGCGGAAUUCCCGGUGUAGGGGUGAAAUCCGUAGAUAUCGGGAGGAACACCAGUGGCGAAGGCGGCCACCUGGACGGUAAUUGACGCUGAGACUCGAAAGCGUGGGUAGCAAACAGGAUUAGAUA